GACGAACGCUGGCGGCGUGCUUAACACAUGCAAGUCGAACGGCAAGGCCCUACUUUUGUGCGGUGCUCGAGGGCCGAACGGGUGCGUAACACGUGAGUAACCUGCCCUUGACUUUGGGGUAACUUCAGGAAACUGGGGCUAAUACCGGAUAGGAGCUCCUGCUGCAUGGUGGGGGUUGGAAAGUUUCGGCGGUUGGGGAUGGACGCGCGGCUUAUCAGCUUGUUGGUGGGGUAGUGGCUUACCCAGGCUUUGGCGGGUCGCCGGCCUGAGAGGGGGACCGGCGACAAUGGUCCUGAGAGACGGAGCAGAGUGCUACGGGAGGCAGCAGGGGGGAACAUGGCACAACGGGCGGAAGUCUGAGGCAGCAACGCUGCGGGUGGGAUGACGGCCUUCGGGGUGUAAACCGCUUUAGCCUGUGACGAAGCGGGAGUGACGGUAAUGGGUAAAGAAGCACCGGCUAACUACGUG
This 468-nucleotide ribosomal RNA is filed under the name uncultured bacterium. Its description in RNAcentral is "partial 16S ribosomal RNA". It matches the Rfam family "Bacterial small subunit ribosomal RNA", at positions 28 to 507 of the family's 1533-position model. The record is from RNAcentral.